This 1594-nucleotide ribosomal RNA is filed under the name Salmonella enterica subsp. enterica serovar Muenchen. RNAcentral describes it as "partial 23S ribosomal RNA". It matches the Rfam family "Bacterial large subunit ribosomal RNA", at positions 1226 to 2802 of the family's 2925-position model. The record is from RNAcentral. Lineage: Bacteria; Pseudomonadati; Pseudomonadota; Gammaproteobacteria; Enterobacterales; Enterobacteriaceae.
GGGUAGGGGAGCGUUCUGUAAGCCUGUGAAGGUGGCCUGUGAGGGUUGCUGGAGGUAUCAGAAGUGCGAAUGCUGACAUAAGUAACGAUAAAGCGGGUGAAAAGCCCGCUCGCCGGAAGACCAAGGGUUCCUGUCCAACGUUAAUCGGGGCAGGGUGAGUCGACCCCUAAGGCGAGGCCGAAAGGCGUAGUCGAUGGGAAACGGGUUAAUAUUCCCGUACUUGGUGUUACUGCGAAGGGGGGACGGAGAAGGCUAUGUUGGCCGGGCGACGGUUGUCCCGGUUUAAGCGUGUAGGUGUGUGUUCCAGGUAAAUCCGGUUCACUUUAACACUGAGGCGUGACGACGAGGCACUACGGUGCUGAAGCAACAAAUGCCCUGCUUCCAGGAAAAGCCUCUAAGCAUCAGGUAACAUCAAAUCGUACCCCAAACCGACACAGGUGGUCAGGUAGAGAAUACCAAGGCGCUUGAGAGAACUCGGGUGAAGGAACUAGGCAAAAUGGUGCCGUAACUUCGGGAGAAGGCACGCUGACACGUAGGUGAAGUGAUUUACUCAUGGAGCUGAAGUCAGUCGAAGAUACCAGCUGGCUGCAACUGUUUAUUAAAAACACAGCACUGUGCAAACACGAAAGUGGACGUAUACGGUGUGACGCCUGCCCGGUGCCGGAAGGUUAAUUGAUGGGGUCAGCGCAAGCGAAGCUCCUGAUCGAAGCCCCGGUAAACGGCGGCCGUAACUAUAACGGUCCUAAGGUAGCGAAAUUCCUUGUCGGGUAAGUUCCGACCUGCACGAAUGGCGUAAUGAUGGCCAGGCUGUCUCCACCCGAGACUCAGUGAAAUUGAACUCGCUGUGAAGAUGCAGUGUACCCGCGGCAAGACGGAAAGACCCCGUGAACCUUUACUAUAGCUUGACACUGAACAUUGAGCCUUGAUGUGUAGGAUAGGUGGGAGGCUUUGAAGCGUGGACGCCAGUCUGCGUGGAGCCGACCUUGAAAUACCACCCUUUAAUGUUUGAUGUUCUAACGUGGACCCGUAAUCCGGGUUGCGGACAGUGUCUGGUGGGUAGUUUGACUGGGGCGGUCUCCUCCUAAAGAGUAACGGAGGAGCACGAAGGUUGGCUAAUCCUGGUCGGACAUCAGGAGGUUAGUGCAAUGGCAUAAGCCAGCUUGACUGCGAGCGUGACGGCGCGAGCAGGUGCGAAAGCAGGUCAUAGUGAUCCGGUGGUUCUGAAUGGAAGGGCCAUCGCUCAACGGAUAAAAGGUACUCCGGGGAUAACAGGCUGAUACCGCCCAAGAGUUCAUAUCGACGGCGGUGUUUGGCACCUCGAUGUCGGCUCAUCACAUCCUGGGGCUGAAGUAGGUCCCAAGGGUAUGGCUGUUCGCCAUUUAAAGUGGUACGCGAGCUGGGUUUAGAACGUCGUGAGACAGUUCGGUCCCUAUCUGCCGUGGGCGCUGGAGAACUGAGGGGGGCUGCUCCUAGUACGAGAGGACCGGAGUGGACGCAUCACUGGUGUUCGGGUUGUCAUGCCAAUGGCACUGCCCGGUAGCUAAAUGCGGAAGAGAUAAGUGCUGAAAGCAUCUAAGCACGAAACUUGCCCCGA